CCACUAGGAGGAGCCGUCACUUGGGGAGUAGCCAGUCGGUCGACAGACCGGGCCUCCGCGUCAACAUACUCGGUCAGCAGACCGUGGCGCGAAGGGAGCGGGCAACCGCUC
This 111-nucleotide small RNA is filed under the name Hyphomonas sp. Its description in RNAcentral is "Manganese sequence". It matches the Rfam family "Manganese Mn2+ riboswitch aptamer (yybP-ykoY)". From Rfam's summary of the family: This RNA was originally discovered in E. coli during a large scale screen and was named SraF. The family was later found to exist upstream of related families of protein genes in many bacteria, including the the yybP and ykoK genes in B. subtilis. The specific functions of these proteins are unknown, but this structured RNA element may be involved in their genetic regulation as a riboswitch. The record is from RNAcentral. Lineage: Bacteria; Pseudomonadati; Pseudomonadota; Alphaproteobacteria; Hyphomonadales; Hyphomonadaceae.